RNAcentral lists this ribosomal RNA (460 nucleotides) under uncultured bacterium. Its description in RNAcentral is "partial 16S ribosomal RNA". It matches the Rfam family "Bacterial small subunit ribosomal RNA", at positions 338 to 795 of the family's 1533-position model. The record is from RNAcentral.
CCUACGGGAGGCAGCAGUGAGGAAUAUUGGUCAAUGGACGAGAGUCUGAACCAGCCAAGUAGCGUGAAGGAUGACUGCCCUAUGGGUUGUAAACUUCUUUUAUAUGGGAAUAAAAUGUUCCACGUGUGCGUUUUUGUAUGUACCUUAUGAAUAAGGAUCGGCUAACUCCGUGCCAGCAGCCGCGGUAAUACGGAGGAUCCGAGCGUUAUCCGGAUUUAUUGGGGUUAAAGGGAGCGUAGUUGGGUUGUUAAGUCAGUUGUGAAAGUUUGCGGCUCAACCGUAAAAUUGCAGUUGAUACUGGCAGUCUUGAGUACAGUAGAGGUGGGCGGAAUUCGUGGUGUAGCGGUGAAAUGCUUAGAUAUCACGAAGAACUCCGAUGGCGAAGGCAGCUCACUGGACUGUAACUGACACUGAGGCUCGAAAGUGUGGGUAUCAAACAGGAUUAGAUACCCGAGUAGUC